This 468-nucleotide ribosomal RNA is filed under the name uncultured bacterium. RNAcentral's name for it is "partial 16S ribosomal RNA". It matches the Rfam family "Bacterial small subunit ribosomal RNA", at positions 28 to 507 of the family's 1533-position model. The record is from RNAcentral.
GACGAACGCUGGCGGCGUGCUUAACACAUGCAAGUCGAACGGAAAGGCCCUGCUUUUGUGGGGUGCUCGAGUGGCGAACGGGUGAGUAACACGUGAGUAACCUGCCCUUGACUUUGGGAUAACUUCAGGAAACUGGGGCUAAUACCGGAUAGGAGCUCCUGCUGCAUGGUGGGGGUUGGAAAGUUUCGGCGGUUGGGGAUGGACUCGCGGCUUAUCAGCUUGUUGGUGGGGUAGUGGCUUACCAAGGCUUUGACGGGUAGCCGGCCUGAGAGGGUGACCGGCCACAUUGGGACUGAGAUACGGACCAGACUCGUACGGGAGGCAGCAGUGGGGAAUAUUGCACAAUGGGCGGAAGCCUGAGGCAGCAACGCCGCGUGCGGGAUGACGGCCUUCGGGUUGUAAACCGCUUUCGCCUGUGACGAAGCGUGAGUGACGGUAAUGGGUAAAGAAGCACCGGCUAACUACGUG